This 253-nucleotide ribosomal RNA is filed under the name uncultured bacterium. Its description in RNAcentral is "partial 16S ribosomal RNA". It matches the Rfam family "Bacterial small subunit ribosomal RNA", at positions 524 to 776 of the family's 1533-position model. The record is from RNAcentral.
UACAGAGGGCUCAAGCGUUGUUCGGAUUCAUUGGGCGUAAAGGGUGCGUAGGCGGCGCGGUAAGUCGGGUGUGAAAUCUUGGAGCUUAACUCCGAAACUGCAUUCGAUACUGCCGUGCUUGAGGACUGGAGAGGAGACUGGAAUUUACGGUGUAGCGGUGAAAUGCGUAGAUAUCGUAAGGAAGACCAGUGGCGAAGGCGGGUCUCUGGUCAGUUCCUGACGCUGAGGCACGAAGGCCAGGGGAGCAAACGGG